UGGGCUGUGGCUCAGCAGUAGAGCACUCGUCUAGCACGUGUGAGGCCCUGGGUUCGAUCCUCAGCACCACAU
Molecule: non-coding RNA, 72 nt
Organism: Ictidomys tridecemlineatus (thirteen-lined ground squirrel)
Lineage: Eukaryota; Metazoa; Chordata; Mammalia; Rodentia; Sciuridae
Source: Rfam